Non-coding RNA from Meleagris gallopavo (turkey), 482 nucleotides. The record is from RefSeq and is a predicted model, not a curated record. NCBI's taxonomy places the organism in Eukaryota, Metazoa, Chordata, Aves, Galliformes, Phasianidae.
UUGUUCCUGGUUUUGGGACAUUUGAAAGAGAGCAUCUCCCAGUGGCAAAGAUAAGAGCCCACGUCCUUCCUGCAUCCUGUGGCUGUGCAUUCUCAGCCACAAGAGUCAGCAAAUCCCCUUCCAGAGGGAAGCGAUUUGGACAAUAACAUCUCAGACUGAUGCUGCUAAUCUGGCCUUACCCAAGGGAAGUGGGUGAGGUCAGAAGAUGGGGAAAGGACUUGUCUGCUGUCAGGAUGAUGGUGAAAUUGGCGCAUCAAAUAAAGCUGAAUGCUGCUGUAAAGGCUGAAUGACCAGUGUAUAAAUCCAAGACUUCUCCAAAGGAAGGGAAGAGAAGAAAUAGUAAGGAAGAUGGACUCACUGGUCAAUGGAUCAAAGAUCUUUGAAUGAUGUCGAUGUUGAACAGAAUUUACUCUGAUGUCUACUGUUUAUUAUGGCUCAUUUCCACUCCUUUCAGUGUUGAUGACAUUGUGUUGAAUAAACAA